UAAGAAAUAGACUAAGUUAAAGUUAUUAAAUUCAUAAUUUAAAGAUAAAUAUUUUUUUUUCUUUA
This 65-nucleotide transfer RNA is filed under the name Ooencyrtus plautus. Its description in RNAcentral is "tRNA-Met". Lineage: Eukaryota; Metazoa; Arthropoda; Insecta; Hymenoptera; Encyrtidae. The record is from RNAcentral.